Papio anubis (olive baboon) is the source of this 107-nucleotide small nuclear RNA. The record is from Ensembl. Lineage: Eukaryota; Metazoa; Chordata; Mammalia; Primates; Cercopithecidae.
GUGCUCACUUCAGCAGCAUAUAUACUAAAAUUGGAAUGAUACAGAAAAGAUUAGCAUGGCCCCUGCGCAAGGAUGACAUAAACAUUUGUGAAGCAUUCUGUAUUUUU